This 460-nucleotide ribosomal RNA is filed under the name uncultured bacterium. Its description in RNAcentral is "partial 16S ribosomal RNA". It matches the Rfam family "Bacterial small subunit ribosomal RNA", at positions 338 to 795 of the family's 1533-position model. The record is from RNAcentral.
CCUACGGGAGGCUGCAGUGAGGAAUAUUGGUCAAUGGCCGUGAGGCUGAACCAGCCAAGUAGCGUGAAGGAAGAAGGAUCUAUGGUUUGUAAACUUCUUUUAUAGGGGAAUAAAGGUAUCCACGUGUGGAUUUUUGCAUGUACCCUAUGAAUAAGCAUCGGCUAACUCCGUGCCAGCAGCCGCGGUAAUACGGAGGAUGCGAGCGUUAUCCGGAUUUAUUGGGUUUAAAGGGUGCGUAGGUGGUUUGUUAAGUCAGCUGUGAAAGUUUGUGGCUCAACCGUAAAAUUGCCGUUGAAACUGGCAGACUUGAGUACGGUAGAGGUAGGCGGAAUGCGUGGUGUAGCGGUGAAAUGCUUAGAUAUCACGAAGAACUCCGAUUACGAAGGCAGCUUACUAGGCUACAACUGACACUGAAGCACGAAAGUGUGGGUAUCAAACAGGAUUAGAUACCCUGGUAGUC